AGUGAACGCUGGCGGUAGGCCUAACACAUGCAAGUCGAACGGCAGCACAGUAAGAGCUUGCUCUUACGGGUGGCGAGUGGCGGACGGGUGAGGAAUACAUCGGAAUCUACUUUUUCGUGGGGGAUAACGUAGGGAAACUUACGCUAAUACCGCAUACGACCUACGGGUGAAAGCAGGGGAUCUUCGGACCUUGCGCGAUUGAAUGAGCCGAUGUCGGAUUAGCUAGUUGGCGGGGUAAAGGCCCACCAAGGCGACGAUCCGUAGCUGGUCUGAGAGGAUGAUCAGCCACACUGGAACCGAGACACGGUCCAGACUCCUACGGGAGGCAGCAGUGGGGAAUAUUGGACAAUGGGCGCAAGCCUGAUCCUGCCAUACCGCGUGGGUGAAGAAGGCCUUCGGGUUGUAAAGCCCUUUUGUUGGGAAAGAAAAGCAGCAGGUUAAUACCCCGCUGUUCUGACGGUACCCAAAGAAUAAGCACCGGCUAACUUCGUG
This 492-nucleotide ribosomal RNA is filed under the name uncultured bacterium. RNAcentral's name for it is "partial 16S ribosomal RNA". It matches the Rfam family "Bacterial small subunit ribosomal RNA", at positions 29 to 507 of the family's 1533-position model. The record is from RNAcentral.